Molecule: long non-coding RNA, 1624 nt
Filed under: Gallus gallus (chicken)
Lineage: Eukaryota; Metazoa; Chordata; Aves; Galliformes; Phasianidae
Description: lncRNA (ENSGALG00010007305.1)
Source: RNAcentral
AGCAUGUACAAUGUUAGGCUGGUCAGAUCCAUGGAAUACUGUCACAUGGCACUUCUCACCCAGCACAUCCUCUCUCAUUUUCUCGUUCUGACAGAGGUGAAAGAAGCAAAGUGAGGGGGGGUGUUUGGAGGGAGAGCCAUGGGGUCACCAGGCUGCACUGACAGAUAGAGGACUGCACAGCACUGCUCCGGGCAAGUGAUCCACCUCCCUGCUGAGACUGGCUUCCUUGUGUCAUGUAAUUUAGUGCUCAGUCACUUCUGUUUCCUCACCAUGAACUCCCUCAGAUGCUCCCAAGUAAAGAACUCUCAUUACUACAACAGGUGAGUCUUGUUAAUGUCCAUAAAUUCCUGAAGGGAGGGUGAAAAGAGAAUGGAGCCAAGCUCUUUCCAGUGGUGCCCAGUGCCAGGACAGGAGGCAGUGGGCAUAAACUGGCACACGGGGUGGGCUUUAAGGUCCCCUCCAGCCUAAGCCGUUCUAUGAUUCCAUUAUUAAUCUUUGACCAAAACUAGCACUAAUUGGAUGUUUUCAGCUCUGGAAGAAAGCAAGACAGAGGAUUGCUAAAGCAGGAAGCACAGGUCCCAUUAUCAAGAGCACUCUUUCUGGCUUGGCUGAGAGUCCAAAAGCUUUGAACUAUUUUAGGAGUAUUAACACCACAAAAGCGGGAAGCGUUAAGGAAGAAUGAUGCAUCUUUUUAGCCAAUGGCAGAAAUAGCUUCAGCAUUCCCUCUGACAAGAUACAUGAACAAUCAGCUUUCCAAGAGAAUGUGGAGAUAGUGGUACAGCUGAGAGAAAUUCUAACUCUGUGAACAUGCCCAUUUUUCACGGAGAUUACUGAUGCAUAUGCUUAAAAGCAAGACCCACGUGGACAAAGCCCUGAGCAACCUGGUCUGUUGGGCAGAAGAUUGGCAUGGAGACCUCUUGAGCACGCCUCAACCUGAACAAUACCGCACUGUUCCUAUUGCUUCCAGGGCUUUCCAGGAGCAGUGCUGGAUACACAAGUCUGCAGCAGAAUGGAGCACCCUCCAGGCUGAAGAAUCUCAUUAGGAAUACAAGCUACAAGUACAGAAGUACUCAACUGAAGCAGUCCUUUACUGAACACAUAAUUUCUUAAAAUAGCUUUUCCAAUACUCUUCAGUUUGUUUUUGACAUCAGCUCUUUGCAUGCAAAUUUCUAAUUCUUUUGCUCUUCUUUUGCUGUUCUUUAGUGUAGGACUUGUAUAUUGCUCCACUUGUCCUGUAAACACACUUCAGGACUUAAGAGUGUUGUCACAAUUUCACCACCUCUGAGCUCCUCCAUCUCUGAGUGUUGGUUCAAUUGUCCUUACACUUCUCUCUCCUUCCAGGGCAGCCCUGCUGAUCUCCCCACACCCUCCAAGAAGGAAGUAAGAAUGGAGAGUACCCUGAAACACCUUCAAUAUUUCAGCAUGCAUUACAAUGUGUCCUAGGUAAGCCACAAAAUCAAUCUUUGACAGAGUUCAAUUGCUAUUUCGAAUCUUGGUUAGCGCUGCUUCAGAACUGAAAGCCGCAUUUCUUGGAUGAAUACAUAGACAACUUUCAUUCCUCUAUUUCAUCCCUCUAUUCAGUAAGCUCUAUUUCUUUCUGACAUCCUAUUUUCUUGAUCUUUUC